AUGGCCCCGCGGUGCAUUAGCUAGUUGGUAAGGUAACGGCCUACCAAGGCAACGAUGCAUAGCCGAGUUGAGAGACUGAUCGGCCACAUUGGGACUGAGACACGGCCCAAACUCCUACGGGAGGCAGCAGUAGGGAAUCUUCCACAAUGGACGCAAGUCUGAUGGAGCAACGCCGCGUGAGUGAAGAAGGUUUUCGGAUCGUAAAGCUCUGUUGUUGGUGAAGAAGGAUAGAGGUAGUAACUGGCCUUUAUUUGACGGUAAUCAACCAGAAAGUCACGGCCAACUACGUGCCAGCAGCCGCGGUAAUACGUAGGUGGCAAGCGUUGUCCGGAUUUAUUGGGCGUAAAGCGAGCGCAGGCGGAAAAAUAAGUCUAAUGUGAAAGCCCUCGGCUUAACCGAGGAAUUGCAUCGGAAACUGUUUUUCUUGAGUGCAGAAGAGGAGAGUGGAACUCCAUGUGUAGCGGUGGAAUGCGUAGAUAUAUGGAAGAACACCAGUGGCGAAGGCGGCUCUCUGGUCUGCAACUGACGCUGAGGCUCGAAAGCAUGGGUAGCGAACAGGAUUAGAUACCCUGGUAGUCCAUGCCGUAAACGAUGAGUGCUAAGUGUUGGGAGGUUUCCGCCUCUCAGUGCUGCAGUUAACGCAUUAAGCACUCCGCCUGGGGAGUACGACCGCAAGGUUGAAACUCAAAGGAAUUGACGGGGGCCCGCACAAGCGGUGGAGCAUGUGGUUUAAUUCGAAGCAACGCGAAGAACCUUACCAGGUCUUGACAUCUAGUGCAAUCUGUAGAGAUACGGAGUUCCCUUCGGGGACGCUAAGACAGGUGGUGCAUGGCUGUCGUCAGCUCGUGUCGUGAGAUGUUGGGUUAAGUCCCGCAACGAGCGCAACCCUUGUUAUUAGUUGCCAGCAUUAAGUUGGGCACUCUAAUGUGACUGCCGGUGACAAACCGGAGGAAGGUGGGGAUGACGUCAAGUCAUCAUGCCCCUUAUGACCUGGGCUACACACGUGCUACAAUGGGCAGUACAACGAGAAGCGAGCCUGCGAAGGCAAGCGAAUCUCUGAAAGCUGUUCUCAGUUCGGACUGCAGUCUGCAACUCGACUGCACGAAGCUGGAAUCGCUAGUAAUCGCGGAUCAGCACGCCGCGGUGAAUACGUUCCCGGGCC
This 1162-nucleotide ribosomal RNA is filed under the name uncultured bacterium. RNAcentral describes it as "bacterial SSU rRNA". It matches the Rfam family "Bacterial small subunit ribosomal RNA", at positions 225 to 1380 of the family's 1533-position model. The record is from RNAcentral.